GAUGAACGCUGGCGGCGUGCAUAACACAUUCAAGUCGAACGGAUCAUGGGGCUUGCCUCAUGGUUAGUGGCGGACGGGUGAGUAACGCGUGAGUAACCUACCUCUGUAUGCGGGAUAACGUCUGGAAACGGACGCUAAUACGGCAUAAUACAACGAAGUCACAUGAUUUUGUUGUCAAAGAUUUAUUGUACAGAGAUGGGCUCGCGUCCGAUUAGAUAGUUGGUAGGGUAAUGGCCUACCAAGUCUGCGAUCGGUAGCCGGACUGAGAGGUCGAACGGCCACAUUGGAACUGAGAAACGGUCCAGACUCCUACGGGAGGCAGCAGUGGGGAAUAUUGGGCAAUGGGCGAAAGCCUGACCCAGCGACGCCGCGUGAGGGAAGAAGGUCUUCGGAUUGUAAACCUUUGUUGAUGGGGAAGAAGAAAGUGACGGUACCCAUCGAGGAAGCCACGGCUAACUACGUGCCAGCAGCCGCGGUAAUACGUAGGUGGCAAGCGUUAUCCGGAUUUACUGGGUGUAAAGGGUGUGUAGGCGGAAAGAUAAGUCAGGUGUGAAAAUUACGGGCUCAACCCGUAAACUGCGCCUGAAACUAUUUUCCUUGAGUGUCGGAGGGGCAAACGGAAUUCCAAGUGUAGCGGUGAAAUGCGUAGAUAUUUGGAGGAACACCGGUGGCGAAGGCGGUUUGCUGGACGACAACUGACGCUGAUACACGAAAGUGUGGGGAGCAAACAGGAUUAGAUACCCUGGUAGUCCACACUGUAAACGAUGAAUGCUAGGUGUGGGGGAGCAAUCCUCCGUGCCGCAGUUAACACAAUAAGCAUUCCACCUGGGGAGUACGGCCGCAAGGUUGAAACUCAAAGGAAUUGACGGGAGCCCGCACAAGCAGUGGAGUAUGUGGUUUAAUUCGACGCAACGCGAAGAACCUUACCAGGACUUGACAUCCUAAGAAGUCGGCUUAAUGGCUGAUGUGCCCUUCGGGGAACUUAGAGACAGGUGGUGCAUGGUUGUCGUCAGCUCGUGUCGUGAGAUGUUGGGUUAAGUCCCGCAACGAGCGCAACCCUUACGGUCGGUUGCUACGAAAGAGCACUCCGGCCGGACUGCCGUUGAUAAAACGGAGGAAGGUGGGGACGACGUCAAAUCAUCAUGCCCCUUACGUUCUGGGCUACACACGUACUACAAUGGCGCAAACAAAGGGGAGCGAAGCCGCGAGGUGGAGCAAAUCUCAAAAAAGGCGUCUCAGUUCGGAUUGUAGGCUGCAACCCGCCUACAUGAAGUCGGAAUUGCUAGUAAUCGCAGGUCAGCAUACUGCGGUGAAUACGUUCCCGGGCUUUGUACACACCGCCCGUCAAACCAUGAAAGUUGGGAACACCCGAAGUCCGUAGCUUAACCGUAAGGAGAGCGCGGCCGAAGGUGGGUUCAAUGAUUGGGGUU
Molecule: ribosomal RNA, 1430 nt
Filed under: uncultured bacterium
Lineage: Bacteria
Description: bacterial SSU rRNA
Rfam family: Bacterial small subunit ribosomal RNA
Source: RNAcentral